AAUAUUGGUCAAUAGCCUAACGGGCUGAACCAGCAACUUGGAGGAAUGAAAAGCAAUAGCUGAUUGCAUUUAAAUGUAGUUACUACUUGGUAGUUUAAAUUUCUAGGUAGAAUUAUGAUGAUGACAUUAUCUAUCUAUUAGUCUUGACCAAAUUACGUGCCAGCAGUCGCGGUAAUACGUAGAAGACAAGUGUUAUUCAUCUUUAUUAGGUUUAAAGAGUACCAAGACGGUUAAUAAAGCCCAAAAUAAAUGAAUACGGGGGACACAUUAACUAGAGUUAUAUGAAAGGAAGCUCUUAGGUACUGUUGAGUGUAGAGAUGAAAUUUUAUGAUACCAGAUGAGUGGCACAGAUUUAUGCGAAGGCAUCUUCUUAUGUAAUAACUGACGUUGUAGGACGAAGGCUUAGGAAGUGAACAGGAUUAGGUACCCCAGUAAUCUAGGCAGAAAAUGAUGAAUGUCAUAGGUAUUAUUGUGUCUAUAAAUGAAAGUGUAAGCAUUCCACCUCAAGAGUAAUUUGGCAACAUUGGAACUGAAAUCAUUAGACCGUUUCUGAAACCAGUAGUGAAGUAUGUUGUUUAAUUAGAUGAUACACAAAAACCUUACCACAAUUUGAAUAUAUAUAAAAUAUAUUUACAAGCGCUGCACGGCUGUCUACAGUUAAUGUCGUGAGACUUUGGUUAGCUCCAUUAAAUUGACGUAAACCCAAAUUUUAUUUAUAAAUAUAAUUAACAUUGCUAUAUUUGAUGUUUUAAGAGGGAAC
Molecule: ribosomal RNA, 760 nt
Filed under: Sticta guilartensis
Lineage: Eukaryota; Fungi; Ascomycota; Lecanoromycetes; Peltigerales; Lobariaceae
Description: SSU rRNA
Rfam family: Bacterial small subunit ribosomal RNA
Source: RNAcentral